Molecule: ribosomal RNA, 471 nt
Filed under: uncultured bacterium
Lineage: Bacteria
Description: partial 16S ribosomal RNA
Rfam family: Bacterial small subunit ribosomal RNA
Source: RNAcentral
GAUGAACGCUGGCGGCGUGCCUAAUACAUGCAAGUAGAACGCUGAAGGAAGGAGCUUGCUCUUUCCGGAUGAGUUGCGAACGGGUGAGUAACGCGUAGGUAACCUGCCUGGUAGCGGGGGAUAACUAUUGGAAACGAUAGCUAAUACCGCAUAACAGUAGAUGUUGCAUGAUAUCUACUUAAAAUGUGCAAUUUCACCAGCUCGAGAUGGACCUGCGUUGUAUUAGCUAGUUGGUGGGGUAACAGCCCACCAAGGCGACGAUGCAUAGCCGGUCUGAGAGGAUGAUCAGCCAGACUGGGACUGAGACACGGCCCAGACUCCGACGGGAGGCAGCAGUGGGGAAUAUUGGACAAUGGGCGAAAGCCUGAUACAGCAAUGCCGCGUGAGUGAUGAAGGCCUUAGGGUUGUAAAGCUCUUUUACCCGGGAUGAUAAUGACAGUACCGGGAGAAUAAGCUCCGGCUAACUCCGUG